RNAcentral lists this ribosomal RNA (478 nucleotides) under uncultured bacterium. Its description in RNAcentral is "partial 16S ribosomal RNA". It matches the Rfam family "Bacterial small subunit ribosomal RNA", at positions 28 to 523 of the family's 1533-position model. The record is from RNAcentral.
GAUGAACGCUGGCGGCGUGCUUAACACAUGCAAGUCGAACGAUUAAAGCCCCUUCGGGGGUGUAUAGAGUGGCGAACGGGUGAGUAACACGUGGGUAACCUGCCCUGUGCUUCGGGAUAACCCAGGGAAACUUGGGCUAAUACCGGAUACUCCGGUCUGAUCGCAUGGUCGGACCGGGAAAGUUCCGGCGGCACAGGAUGGACCCGCGGCCCAUUAGCUUGUUGGUAGGGUAACGGCCUACCAAGGCGAUGAUCGGUAGCUGGUCUGAGAGGAUGAUCAGCCACACUGGGACUGAGACACGGCCCAGACUCCUACGGGAGGCAGCAGUGGGGAAUAUUGGACAAUGGGCGCAAGCCUGAUCCAGCAAUGCCGCGUGAGUGAAGAAGGUUUUCGGAUUGUAAAGCUCUUUUGGCGGGGACGAUGAUGACGGUACCCGCAGAAUAAGCCCCGGCUAACUUCGUGCCAGCCGCCGCCGUAA